GGGGCUGUUCUGGAUUCGACAGGAUAGUGCGAGUUUGAUAAGCAUGCAAUCGGCAGAUUUCAAAAUGCGCGGUUAAACAUAACCGGAAACCAAAAUUACGCUUUCGCUGCUUAAGAAGAAGUAGCGGGUUUCUCUUGGCCAGCCUGCGGGCCUAGACAAACCCCACUCAGCAGGAUAGUAUUGCACUCUGCCACCUUAAGAGUGUCGUGCGAAAAUAAUAGGGUUAGUCUAUUGAUGGCGAGUUAACUGGCUGUUUUUAGAUGAAACAAUUCAGUGAACUAAGCAUGUAGAAAGUCAAAUGAUUGGCUGUUUUGGACGGGGGUUCAAAUCCCCCCAGCUCCACCA
This 345-nucleotide transfer-messenger RNA is filed under the name Candidatus Izemoplasmatales bacterium. It matches the Rfam family "transfer-messenger RNA". From Rfam's summary of the family: Bacterial tmRNA, also known as 10Sa RNA or SsrA, is named for its dual tRNA and mRNA-like properties. Lineage: Bacteria; Bacillati; Mycoplasmatota; Mollicutes; Candidatus Izemoplasmatales. The record is from RNAcentral.